This 392-nucleotide ribosomal RNA is filed under the name uncultured bacterium. RNAcentral's name for it is "partial 16S ribosomal RNA". It matches the Rfam family "Bacterial small subunit ribosomal RNA", at positions 523 to 918 of the family's 1533-position model. The record is from RNAcentral.
AUACGGAGGAUCCGAGCGUUAUCCGGAUUUAUUGGGUUUAAAGGGUGCGCAGGCGGCCAUUUAAGUCAGCGGUUAAAUCGUGGGGCUCAACCCCAUUCUGCCGUUGAUACUGGGUGGCUUGAUUGCGGUCGAGGUUGGCGGAAUUCGUUGUGUAGCGGUGAAAUGCAUAGAUAUGACGAAGAACACCGAUUGCGAAGGCAGCCUGCUGGACUGUAACUGACGCUGAUGCUCGAAAGUGUGGGUAUCAAACAGGAUUAGAUACCCUGGUAGUCCACACAGUAAACGAUAAAUACUCGCUGUUUGCGAUAUACAGUAAGCGGCCAAGCGAAAGCGUUAAGUAUUCCACCUGGGGAGUACGCCGGCAACGGUGAAACUCAAAGGAAUUGACGGGG